GCGACAUGAUAAACUGUAUAAAGGAGUGGAGGUGCUACCUGAUUUUAAGAAGCUUGCAAAUUCUAGGGUUGUCGAAAAGAUCCUGGUAACUCUGGAAGUUGCUUUGUGAGUAUCCAUUACUCUUAAACUUAGUGUCUCAUGAUAAAUAACCAGAUAGCAUGAUCCAUUUGUCAUCCAUUGACAUUGAAGGGUGCAACCGUCUCCAAGUGAUCAAGUUCAUCAAGAACUCAUGUUAUUACCUAGCAUUUCUUUGCCAUUUUCCUGUAAAGGUUUGAUCACUAUAAAGUUUUUGUGUGCUAAUAUACAAUGUAAUUUGCAUUGAUAAGUAUAUACUAUUUCGUGUACGAACCAGGCCGCCAGCUCCAAUUGGCAAGAAAGACACGUCAUACUGGGUUGCAUAAGGCUUGGUUCAGCAUCAUCUGGCAUCCAUCCAAAUACAAGGAAGGUAGUGGAACAUGUCAAAUUAUGUAAGGGAAGCUGGUGUCAGGCGAGCCCCAAAUUAAGAUUUGCCAAGAUAAGUGAAACACAACGCAAGUGGUGUAUUUUGCACGUUUUUUAGUUUGUUGCAUUAUUUGUGUAUUGAGACUCAGACCUGCAAGAGACUUUUUAGUUUGUUGCAUUAUUUGUGUAUUGAGACUCAGACCUGCAAGAGACUUGGUAAAAUGUUUGUUCUA
Molecule: long non-coding RNA, 674 nt
Organism: Sorghum bicolor (sorghum)
Lineage: Eukaryota; Viridiplantae; Streptophyta; Magnoliopsida; Poales; Poaceae
Exons: 2
Source: RefSeq, a predicted model, not a curated record